UACGUAGGGGGCGAGCGUUGUCCGGAUUUAUUGGGCGUAAAGAGCGUGUCGGCGGCCAGGUAGGUCUGCUGUGAAAACUCGAGGCUCAACCUCGAGACGUCGGCGGAAACCAUCUGGCUAGAGUCCGGAAGAGGAGAGUGGAAUUCCUGGUGUAGCGGUGAAAUGCGCAGAUAUCAGGAAGAACACCCGUGGCGAAGGCGGCUCUCUGGGACGGUACUGACGCUGAGACGCGAAAGCGUGGGGAGCGAACAGG
RNAcentral lists this ribosomal RNA (253 nucleotides) under uncultured bacterium. Its description in RNAcentral is "partial 16S ribosomal RNA". It matches the Rfam family "Bacterial small subunit ribosomal RNA", at positions 524 to 776 of the family's 1533-position model. The record is from RNAcentral.